Molecule: ribosomal RNA, 20 nt
Filed under: uncultured Ascomycota
Lineage: Eukaryota; Fungi; Ascomycota
Description: partial 5.8S ribosomal RNA
Source: RNAcentral
GCAUCGAUGAAGNACGCAGC